Molecule: ribosomal RNA, 549 nt
Filed under: uncultured Glomus
Lineage: Eukaryota; Fungi; Glomeromycota; Glomeromycetes; Glomerales; Glomeraceae
Description: SSU rRNA
Rfam family: Eukaryotic small subunit ribosomal RNA
Source: RNAcentral
UUGGAGGGCAAGUCUGGUGCCAGCAGCCGUGGUAACUCCAGCUCCAAUAGCGUAUAUUAAAGUUGUUGCAGUUAAAAAGCUCGUAGUUGAAUUUCGGGGUUAGUAGGCUGGUCAUGCCACAGGUAUGCACUGGUCUUACUGACUCCUCCUUCCUGAUGAACCGUAAUGCCAUUAACUUGGUGUUGCGGGGAGUCUGGACUGUUACUUUGAAAAAAUUAGAGUGUUUAAAGCAGGCUAACGCUUGAAUACAUUAGCAUGGAAUAACGAAAUAGGACGUUCGAUCUUAUUUUGUUGGUUUCUAGGAUUGACGUAAUGAUUAAUAGGGAUAGUUGGGGGCAUUAGUAUUCAAUUGUCAGAGGUGAAAUUCUUGGAUUUAUUGAAGACUAACUACUGCGAAAGCAUUUGCCAAGGAUGUUUUCAUUAAUCAAGAACGAAAGUUAGGGGAUCGAAGACGAUCAGAUACCGUCGUAGUCUUAACCAUAAACUAUGCCGACUAGGGAUCGGAUGAUGUUAAUUUUUUAAUGACUCAUUCGGCGCCUUACGGGAAAC